RNAcentral lists this ribosomal RNA (694 nucleotides) under Bacillus pumilus. RNAcentral describes it as "bacterial SSU rRNA". It matches the Rfam family "Bacterial small subunit ribosomal RNA", at positions 72 to 751 of the family's 1533-position model. Lineage: Bacteria; Bacillati; Bacillota; Bacilli; Caryophanales; Bacillaceae. The record is from RNAcentral.
GAGGAGCUUAGCUCCCGGAUGUUAGCGGCGGACGGGUGAGUAACACGUGGGUAACCUGCCUGUAAGACUGGGAUAACUCCGGGAAACCGGAGCUAAUACCGGAUAGUUCCUUGAACCGCAUGGUUCAAGGAUGAAAGACGGUUUCGGCUGUCACUUACAGAUGGACCCGCGGCGCAUUAGCUAGUUGGUGGGGUAAUGGCUCACCAAGGCGACGAUGCGUAGCCGACCUGAGAGGGUGAUCGGCCACACUGGGACUGAGACACGGCCCAGACUCCUACGGGAGGCAGCAGUAGGGAAUCUUCCGCAAUGGACGAAAGUCUGACGGAGCAACGCCGCGUGAGUGAUGAAGGUUUUCGGAUCGUAAAGCUCUGUUGUUAGGGAAGAACAAGUGCGAGAGUAACUGCUCGCACCUUGACGGUACCUAACCAGAAAGCCACGGCUAACUACGUGCCAGCAGCCGCGGUAAUACGUAGGUGGCAAGCGUUGUCCGGAAUUAUUGGGCGUAAAGGGCUCGCAGGCGGUUUCUUAAGUCUGAUGUGAAAGCCCCCGGCUCAACCGGGGAGGGUCAUUGGAAACUGGGAAACUUGAGUGCAGAAGAGGAGAGUGGAAUUCCACGUGUAGCGGUGAAAUGCGUAGAGAUGUGGAGGAACACCAGUGGCGAAGGCGACUCUCUGGUCUGUAACUGACGCUGAGG